Molecule: long non-coding RNA, 712 nt
Filed under: Vulpes vulpes (red fox)
Lineage: Eukaryota; Metazoa; Chordata; Mammalia; Carnivora; Canidae
Description: lncRNA (ENSVVUG00000004479.1)
Source: RNAcentral
GGUUUGAUGAUUAGGGGCACUUUGAGAAAUUAUAACAGGUCCUACUGAGAGCCUCCCUUUUUGAAUCAGGUGCAAAGGAUAGUAUUUGGAAGCCCCGGGCAAGAGCUUCUGCAGGAGACAGUUACAAAUUAGUCCUCUUACUCUUGUAAGCUGAGUGGUUGGCACCUGGUCCAGAACACGGCCUUCAGCAUUAGAGAACAUUCCCAAGCCACAAAGAAUGAUCUGCACGUUGCCUUCCUUAUGAAAUGAGAAAGGGUCUCCAAAAGAAAUAAAACACAGGCCUUGCUCACUGGACUUGGAAGUUCAAACAGCUCCCAUCCAGAAAGGACCAUCUUGGGGGCGACAAACAGGGUGCAGUGGAGGGGUCACAGUCAGAAGAGCCAGUGCAGGCUGCUGGAGAGCAGGAAAGGGGUGGCUCCUGCCUCCUGACCACCAAGAGCACUUUCUGGACUCAGGGAUCUGCGAGUUUGAGUGAGAAUUAGCUUAAGAUUGCAAAAGAUCAUCCCUGUGCAGCUGCCAAGAUUGCUACCUACCAGGGGGCAAGUGUUUUGUAAGUUGGCUGGACACACCUAUGUGUAUUUAAGCACAGCAAUACAAUGAAAAUGAAACCUUACAUCCAACUCCAAUCCAUUCAGCUGAUAAAAAUGGAGCUGCUUUGGUUGAGUUUUGACUGUGGUGACUGAGCAUUUCUCUUGAUUGGCCUUCACCCCAC